This 637-nucleotide long non-coding RNA is filed under the name Coffea arabica (coffee). RNAcentral's name for it is "long non-coding RNA (CARA_LNC004851)". The record is from RNAcentral. Lineage: Eukaryota; Viridiplantae; Streptophyta; Magnoliopsida; Gentianales; Rubiaceae.
AGGAGUAGCAGUUUCCAGCAUAGAAUAAAAUAUUAUGAAGUGAAGGACCAAAGCAAUAGUAAAGAAAACGCGAUCGAUGGAGUCACUGAUUCACGUCGACAUAUACAUUAUAUCGUACACAAUUUUGGAAAUGAAGAGAUUAAAAGGCGCACAUCACACUGGACGUUGAUCGAAGAUUAACUCGAAGCAAGCAUUCUGGCUUCAGUCAGGUGAACGAUCAGACAUUAAUCAACUGCCCGGUUAGUUAUGUUUGGAAUGACCCAUACCAGGACUACGUCCAGGGUUCGUAGGUCGAAAGGAAUCCACUUUUCCCUCUAGAAAUCUGAAUCCAGGCCCCUGCCCCGCAACAGGUUUCUUGGCCUCUACCAAAUCAACUAUUUUCGCUGCGUGGCCCGCUCGAUGCGUACGAGAUGUACAUUGCGAGCUCCUUGCCUCCCCUAGAUUCCUACCAUGGCCGCGAAGUGCUUCUUGGCUCGAAAUGGUUAGUAGGAAGAUAAGCAAACGGGUAAAGAAGCUGGCCAUCGGCGAAUAAUGAGCACAAGUGUAUCUUAAUUUCAAUCCCCAAGUUUAAAAUGAGGAGGGAGGAAAAAUGAUAGCAAGAAAGUUGGUAGCAAAACGAAGCCGAGGGAAUGGUGGC